RNAcentral lists this ribosomal RNA (301 nucleotides) under uncultured bacterium. Its description in RNAcentral is "partial 16S ribosomal RNA". It matches the Rfam family "Bacterial small subunit ribosomal RNA", at positions 509 to 807 of the family's 1533-position model. The record is from RNAcentral.
CAGUCGCCGCGGUAAUACGAAGGGAGCUAGCGUUGUUCGGAAUUACUGGGCGUAAAGCGCGCGUAGGCGGUUACUCAAGUCAGAGGUGAAAGCCCGGGGCUCAACCCCGGAACUGCCUUUGAAACUAGGUGACUAGAAUCUUGGAGAGGUCAGUGGAAUUCCGAGUGUAGAGGUGAAAUUCGUAGAUAUUCGGAAGAACACCAGUGGCGAAGGCGGUUCACUGGACGCGUAUUGACGCUGAGGUACGAAAGCGCGGGGAGCAAACAGGAUUAGAUACCCCCGUAGUCCCUGUCUCUUAUAC